AAAAAGCGGAGGAAAAGAAACUAACAAGGAUUCCCCUAGUAAUGGCGAAUGAAGAGGGAAAAGCCCAAAUUUGUAAUCUGGCUCUUUCAGAGUCCGAGUUGUAAUUUUAAGAACUGUUUUCAGUGCUGGACCAUGUACAAGUCUGUUGAAAAGCAGCAUCAUAGAAGGUGAUAAUCCUGUUCAUGAUAUGGACUACCAGUGCAAUAUGAUACAGUCUCUAAGAGUCGAGUUGUUUGGGAAUGCAGCUCAAAGUGGGUGGUAAAUUCCAUCUAAGGCUAAAUAUUGAUGAGAGACCGAUAGCAAACAAGUACCGUGAGGGAAAGAUGAAAAGAACUUUGGAAAGAGAGUUAACAGUACGUGAAAUUGUUAAAAGGGAAACAAUUGAAGUUAGACUUGUUAUUAUUAGUUCAACCUUUUCUAAGGGGGUAUUCUAAUGAUUAACAGACCAACAUCAAUUUUUGGGUGUUGGAGAAGGGUUUAAGGAAAUGUAGCAGUUUUUGACUGUGUUAUAGUCCUGAGCUUUGAUACAAUGCUUAAGAUUGAGGAAUGCAGUAAGCCCUUUCUUUUUUUGGGUGGAACAAAUUAUUGUUCUUCUUACUGAGGAUGUUGGUGCAAUAGCUUUAAAUGACCCGUCUUGAACCACGGACC
This 648-nucleotide ribosomal RNA is filed under the name Puccinia adenocauli. Its description in RNAcentral is "partial large subunit ribosomal RNA". It matches the Rfam family "Eukaryotic large subunit ribosomal RNA", at positions 45 to 667 of the family's 3401-position model. The record is from RNAcentral. Lineage: Eukaryota; Fungi; Basidiomycota; Pucciniomycetes; Pucciniales; Pucciniaceae.